AGAAUGUAUACAACACGUUGCAGCUACUGUUGGCGUGACUGCGGCUCGAGAAAUCAAUCCAGUUGUUAGUAGGGUGAGUUUUUUUUUGUGAAUUAAAAAAACAAAAGAAAAUAAAAUAAAAAACUUGCCAUUUUCUGGGCAUGGCUAAUGGUAAAAAUUUACAAAACAUUUUCUCAUUAAUUUGAUAUUAAGUGUUACCAAAAAUGCAUGACCAGCUUUGCAAAAUGUUAAAAAAAAAGGACCCGUGAAAUGUCGGCCGCGCUACGAUAUCUUCAAGAAUUAUUUCAAAUUAACAAGCUGUCCAAAUUAAUGACUAAAAAAUUAUAGCAACCGACAUCUCACAGGUUGUUAGAGAAAGGUUACAUGGUGCAUCGACCGGAAAUAUCUGACUCAACUUUGACUACUUAUAUCUCUGCUGGUUUUGGUUUUUUUUUGAAAAAGUGUCAAUUGACAAAAUAUUUAUCGUUUUUUCUACUACAACUUUGCAUUUUAACACUUUUUGAUAGCAGCAGACUUAGGCUUAGGCUUGACUUAGGCUUAGGCUCAGGCUCAUGCUUAGUUUUAGGCUAAGGCUUAGUUUUAGGCUUAGGCUUAGGCCUACUCUUAGGCCUAGUUUUAGGCCCAAAGGAUAACCUCCCGGAAAUACCGAAAAAUCCAAAAAAAAAGUUCUAACCAACCUCUUCAGUCUCCUCAACUUCCACUUCCUGGGGUUUUAAAAAUUGCGAAAAAACAAUUAAAUCCCAAAAUUGUUUAUUCACAUUUUUCACAACAAAUGCGCCUUUCUGAUUACACUGAGGACAUUUUUUAUCUCUAAUUUUCUCACGACAACUGUCACAUAACGUAUGACCGCAUGUGCCGAUGCAAGGGAUUCGGAUGGCGUUGUCUGUAAAAACAUCCAUUUUUGGAGCGUGUCCUAUAUUUUGUAAGUAGAGAUUUUUGAAAACUGACAGGAUUGUCGCAUGUUUCGACCCCUACAAUUUUUCAAUACAAAUAAUUAAAACAAAAUUGAAGUAUAAAAAAUGUAGGAAAACAAAUUUUUUUUUUGGUCGACUUCCAAAAUUAUGAGUGGCAAAAACUGAGUGGUUGUCACUUUUUGACAGUAAAUAAAAAAGUUUCUAAAAACUUUUGAAAAGUUUUAUUAUGAUAUUCGGUACUUUUCGGAUUAAAGGAGUGGAUCUUAACAAUCUUCCCACUGGCGCUACUUCACCUCUAAUGAUUUAAAAAUGAGUUUUUUGUAAAAUUUGAAAAAUCAUUAAAAUAAUUUUUUUAAAACAUAAUUUUCAGUAAUUACACCCAACUCUCUAAAUUUCCAAAAAAAAUGAAAACUUUCAGAAAAAUUUCCAACAAUAUUCACCAUAUUCCUCAUAGCAAAUUCCACACUCUGCAACUUUACUCAUUAAAAAAAAAACAACUAAAUGUAUUUAUUGAAGAGAAUUUCAAAAAGUCAAAUUCAUCAUUUAUAUAUUAUAUACUAAUGUAAGGUGAGAAAUUGUCUAAGGAACCAUAGGAAUGUUUCCUUCCUCAUCGCAAUUUCUCAUUUCAUGAGUUUACUACUUUCCUGCAAAAAGAUAACAUGUAUCUUAGGAACUAAUUUUUAUUUCAAUUUAUUUAUUCGAAUCGCAGAAAUUUCCGGCAAUUUUGGCUAUUGCCGAUAUUACAGAAACUAAAUUUGCAAAAGUUAUCAGUUAUCGGUAAUUCUAAGCCUAAGCUUAAACCUAAAACUAAGCCUAAGCUUAAGCCUAAUCCUGAGCCUAAGCCUAAACCUAGUAAAUAAUUUUACCUCUAGUUUCACUAUGUAUCAUUUCAAUUCAAUAACAUGCAAAAAAGUAAAUGGACAAACUCCACUAAAUUCAGAAAACCUUUGCUUCUGGUAAAUACUCUUUAGGCAGCAGGUGAUUUUAAUUGUCUAUAGGUGUUAUAACUCCACAAUAAAUUCUUUUAACAAGUUAUUAUAUAUUUUUAUUUCCAGCUCCCACUAUGAAUGUUGACUUUAAAGACCCUGUAUGGCUAAUCAAUAGUUACAAUUUUGUUGGUAUUUUUUCUAUAUCAAUAAAUACGGCGACUAUUUUUUUUGAUUAUUUUCAAAAGCGAGAAGAUGGAGAGUAUGAAGUAUCAUAUUCUGGCGUUUCAGGUGAUCUCCUUUAAAUGUGGAGUAUCGAAAUCUGGAAAAUAUUUUUAAUUGACUCCAAAUUUUCCGCUGAUUCCGAAUCUCGAUGUGAAAAAAAUCAAAAAUUCAAAAAAAUCUGAUAGAUUUGGAUUCUAGAUUUUUUAAAAAUAUUAUAGAUGAGUUUUUGGGACAGGAAAGUAAAUUUAAGCCGCGCUAGAGAGGUUUUUGUGUCGAGUUCCAAUUUUCACAGGUAUAUGUAGGCGCAAAAAAACAAAAAUAAAAAUUAUGGAAUUCCGGAAGAAUUGAAGUAAAUUUAAGCCGCGCUAGAGAGGUUUUUGUGUCGAGUUCCAAUUUUCACAGGUAUAUGUAGGCGCAAAAAAACAAAAAUAAAAAUUAUGGAAUUCCGGAAGAAUUGAAGUAAAUUUAAGCCGCGCUAGAGAGGUUUUUGUGUCGAGUUCCAAUUUUCACAGGUAUAUGUAGGCGCAAAAAAACAAAAAUAAAAAUUAUGGAAUUCCAGAAGAAUUGAACUCAUCCCACCCCUCCCACUCCCACUCCCCAGUCGAAGCAGUUACCGACUGAUCCAGGGAGGAUGAGGGAAGCCUAGCUCCUCGGUGUGUGUGACUUUUCCGACCUAGAUUUACAAAUUAAAAUCAAAACGGUUCACGGAAAAAAGUAAUGACUGUUGAAAAACUGCUUAUUUUAUUGCAUUUGUUCAAUUUAUUAAAUUUUCCAAUUUCCCGGUUGCCAAAAAAUCAAUAAAAUUCAAUUUUCAGAAAACCAAUAAAAUUAUAUUUCUCAUCAAAAUUCAAAUUUCUAUGACGUCGCCAGAAUUAAAUUUCUAGGUCACCGGUGACGUCUUCAGGCAUAGUUUAAGUUUUCUAGGCCACCAGUGGCGUCAUUUAUUUCCCCAGGUAUAAUUUGAAACUUCUAGGCCACCGGUCACAUCAUUAAUUUGUCUUCCACGGUCAAAAUAUUUCUCUUCCAGAACUAAAAUAAGAUUUCUAGUCCACCAAUGACGUCAUAUCUUCUCCAAAAAAGCUAUCAAGGUUUCCUAGACCAUUAGUGACGUAAUAAGUAGGCAAUGAUAUUUCUAGGCCACGGCCCCCCCCCCCCCCCUCUGAUCAAAAAACAAAGUUAUGAGUCAACUUAACUUAUUAGAAUGCUGACUCACCCAGUCAACACCAAUCUAAUCUUUCCCUGUCUCCUCCCUACCACUGCCUGCGCCUCUCCGUCUCGCGCGCUCUCUCUCCCACUCCGCUCACCGCCUGCGUCUCCGUUUCUCUCCCGGUCAUUCCUCAUUCACUCAAUCUUGCAAAAUUUCGGUUGUAACGAAUUUCGAGUUAGAUUUUUUCUAAAAAUAAUCAAAAAUUCCGUCGAAAAAUCAACUUGCGGCGAUGCUCAACGUGGAGCCCUCAUUUGCAGAGGAGCUGCGGAGCAGCGGGGUUUCUCUGUCGGCUACUGUGAGUUUUUUAUUAGUUUUUUCCCCGAAAAUAUAAAAUUGUCUUUCAGUACCUCGGAAGUGUUCCAGUAGUCGAGUCAAUUAACGUGAUGGUUUCCGAGAUGAGAGUUCAAGUUGUUUCG
This 3688-nucleotide small RNA is filed under the name Caenorhabditis elegans. RNAcentral's name for it is "Unclassified non-coding RNA F54A5.7". Lineage: Eukaryota; Metazoa; Nematoda; Chromadorea; Rhabditida; Rhabditidae. The record is from RNAcentral.